Non-coding RNA from Penaeus vannamei (Pacific white shrimp), 1046 nucleotides. NCBI's taxonomy places the organism in Eukaryota, Metazoa, Arthropoda, Malacostraca, Decapoda, Penaeidae. The record is from RefSeq and is a predicted model, not a curated record.
ACUUCUCUGUGGGUGAAAUUGUAGUAUGGCGCGUUAACCUCAUACAUGUGUGACAUGUGUGCUUAUCCCCACACAAGUGUUCUCACAUGAAAUAUGUAAAUCAAAGGUUUUUGCGCCUUUUGAAGGCGAGUUCCAACCUUCCCUCACAUUCGGCCGCCUGUAGCUUCGUUGUUCGCAACCAGUUUCUAUUACUUCCCACUAAUGUCUAAGAUUCUGUUAUGUCUAAUCAUCUUUUUCUUGGUGAGUGUUGUCAUACUUGAAUACAAAGUCAAAGGAUAUUAUGGCUACACGCUCCCCAUGGCAGCCCUAGAACCCACGUAUCAAAGAGGAAAAGUACGACCUGAUUUCUCUGAUGAACCUCCCAUAACCGCGUCUGAGGAGCUGCUUCCUCCCCGUGGGUUAACUGGAAGUAAUAUGACACAAGGGGAUCCCACAAACAUUGCUGCACGCCCGGAGGAAUCGUAGAAAAUGGACAUCGAAGUAGGGUCCCUGUGAUAUGGAAGACUGUGUGUGUGCGCGGUGAGGAAGUGGAUCCCUACCGACUUCCUAACCUUAUACGGAUAAUGUCAAGAUGUAUAACGUUUUGGUGUGUAUUAUUUUCAAGCAGGGCCAGCGGAGAGCAGCGGGCCCGGGCAGCGGCCAUCGGUCUACAGCGCGACCUCUGCAAACUUGUAUCGCAACCAAGGCAGCAGGUCAUCCACCCAUUUCCCUGGGCUACGAUGAGGGCGCUUCUUGUGUUCAUGAGCCGACCUUUAAAUUGUAUGAGAAUGAUUCCAGAACGUUUUAUUGUGAAAUUUCCGAGAAUUUCGUAAGGUAAAUGAAUACUGGAUGUAACUGCAUAAACGGAUUCACCCUUGAACUGCAGCUGUAGUAAUGAUUAUACAACAGUAUUAAUUUUCAUAUUAUGAAUAUAUAUUUGAAUUAGAAAAAUACGACGCACUAACUUUGCACAUACAUAUGUAGCUUUGCAUAGCACGUAAAACGGGUUUUGUUUUUCAAUAUAAAAGUCAUCGACUAUGAUCAUAAAAUACAUUUAUAGACAGUAA